Molecule: long non-coding RNA, 616 nt
Organism: Brassica napus (rape)
Lineage: Eukaryota; Viridiplantae; Streptophyta; Magnoliopsida; Brassicales; Brassicaceae
Exons: 4
Source: RefSeq, a predicted model, not a curated record
GUCGGCAAGUGAGAACUUUGAUUUAGACCAUGAUUAUCCGGGUUUCUUAAGAGAGUUUUUAAAGUUAAUGAAGCAUUUAAUUAAAUCAAAAUGAAAUAAAAUAUCUGUUACCGAUCCUUAAUAUAGGAUUGUGGAGACCGAUUAUUAAGAGGGUUUUUAACACACGUGUCAGCUUAUCAUUAAAAGUGCAUUUAUUUUUUUCUUUCUCUUUUUUUUUUCUUUUUGUCGUCUCUCUCUUCUCUUGUGGUCUCUGCCGGACGAUGAUGGCAAUAGCUCGGCCAAUACCAGCAGCAGGUCUUCGAUUCGAUCCAACCUCCAGGUGGGUUUAGUUUGAGGAAGAGGAAUCAAUUGAGAGGUUUUGGAAAAGGAAUCAAGUGUUCACUGAAAGUUCAGCAGCAACAGCCUCCUCCACCAUCAAAGUCUUCUCUCUUCGAUUUUUGGAAUGUCGUUGUGGGAUCACAAAACUCAUAACAUGGAUGCAUUGGUGGGCCUAAUCGUAUCACUGUUUGCGUUUGAAAGAAAACCGCCUUCAUCGUAUUGACUCGUGGCUCUUCCUCUCGUGAUUAGUAGUAUCUCAUUGUACCAGAAAUAUCCAUACCUGGACAAGAAGAAGAAG